This is a long non-coding RNA of Helianthus annuus (common sunflower), 3308 nucleotides long. RefSeq lists it as uncharacterized. The transcript has 7 exons. NCBI's taxonomy places the organism in Eukaryota, Viridiplantae, Streptophyta, Magnoliopsida, Asterales, Asteraceae. The record is from RefSeq and is a predicted model, not a curated record.
ACAUUCUCAAAGUCUAUCCAUUUUCUCUUCUCUGGUAUGCUUUCUCAUUUUUUCAAAACACACACAACUAUGUCAGCUAUGUAUAGAGAGACCGAGUGAAAAGGGGAGCCGGCCAACAGUUUUCCGGCGAACCCCUAAGGUUCCAAGUAGAGCGAUGAUAUGCGGUGACGUUUCGCUGUUUAAUCACUGGCAACCAGCUUCAAAUCUGCCGAGUGAGAGGCGCCAUCUUUACGUACAUCAUUGUGGUCGACGUGAUACAAUACAGGUUAGAUGGUUAUAGAUCUAGGGUUUAUGACAUGUAAUCGGUUCCAAUGGGAAUCAGCUUUAGGGCUAAUCGAAACGGAUUCGGAUUUAGGGCUAAUUGAAAUGAAGUACGCUACAAGACAACUGGCGAACGAUGGCGGUUACCGCCGGUGGCCAUGAUGCCGAUGAUUGUGUGUAUGUGUGUUUUUUUUUUUAAAUUUUGGUUAUUGAAUUGGGUGUAACAGGGGAGACAGAUGUUAAGGCGGUGGUGUGUGUCGCGGAAUCCGAAAAAAGGACAAACGAAGGCGGUGGUGGGGGAGGGGAAUAACGGAAAUGUAUGCCCCCAGUGACAGUUCGCCAGCGUUCUUCUUAAGGAUUGGUGAUGUUUGAGUUUGGUUUCCAACGGCAAAGGUGUUUUCCGGUGACUCCUGUUAUCCGGUCAUAUUUGGUAUUCAUUUUUGCUGUUAUCAAGCUUCAAAGUGGCUGCUUAUGUAACACGUCCAUUUUGGUCACAUAAGUAUAUAACUUCACUACUUGUAUAUUUGUAAACUUGACAGCAUAAAUAUAUAUAUUUUAAAACAAUCAUAAAAACCUUACUGGACUUAUGUCUAUUUGAAAAUUCAUUCGCUGGAUAAAGUUGGUGGUUAAUAAUAGCAUUUCAUGAUUUAAAAAAUGUACUUAACAAAGCAUAUUUAAUAUUAAUUCAUGGAAAUAUGAAAAAAAAAUUAUUCAAAGUGACAUGAGUGGGAUGGUUCUAACAAAAGUAUAGGGAUUUAAUUUCUAAAGAGUUUUAUUUUGUAAUAGGUAGAAAAGGGAUGUUUAGUGCAGAUUCGAUCAAUUCUAAGUUUUUGUAACAGUAAUUCUUCAUUUGGAGUUAUUGGAAACUCUCGACUCGAAUCUGAGUUUGUUUCGGGUCUUAGUCAAGCUCGGUCAAAUUUGGUCAAACGACUCAACACCAAUUAGCAGCAGUCAGUAGGAGCAUACGAGUUGGUUAUGAGUGGGAAGUUCAUGCAUUUCGUCGAACAAAUGGUGCUCACUUUAUAGAAACCGGACGUGCAUGCCGUCUUAUAGUAAUCAAAGUCUCUUUGAUUCACACUUUUUGUCGAACACAUGGGGCUGAUGUAAAUUUGAAAAAUGAUGGUGGCAGAACUGCUCUUCACUAUGCUACUAGCAAGGGUUGGGUGAAAGCUAAAAUUUUGCUUUCUAAUGGAGCAAAGAUUGAUGCAAAGGACAAGAUUGGUAGCAAACGGAGUCGCUGGAUAUUUGUUUCUACAAAAAUUGCAAUGGUACAUGUAAGUGUUGAGAUGGAACCAGCAAAGUUCUUGCAUAAGCUUAUUAUUUGGGACAUGAUAUGAAGGAGAUGGUCUCCUUGCAAAUCUCUUAGCCCGCGCCGCAACGCGGGCAGGUCGAUCUUCUAGUAACACUCUAAUUUUCAACAAUUCUAUGCAAUACAUGUUGUACCAUGUGCUUUAUAGCUUUAUUAUGUUGUAUAGUGUUGUUCUAUUACUUUAAUUUGUUGUACAUUCUCACAGUCUAUCCACUUUCUCUGGUAUGCUUUCUCAUCUUUUCAAAACACACACAACUAUGUUAACUAUGUAGAGAGAGACCAAGUGAAAAGGGGAGUUUGCCAACAGUUUUCCGGCGAACCCCUAAGGUUCCAAUUAGAGCGAUGAUAUGCGGUGACGUUUCACUGUUUAAUCACUGGCAACCAGCUUCAAAUCUGCCGAGUGAGAGACGCCAUCGUUACGUACAUCGUUGUGGUCGACACGAUACAAUACAGGUUAGAUGGUUAUCGAUCUAGGGUUUAUGACAUGUAAUCGGUUCCAAUCGGAAUCAGCUUUAGGGCUAAUCGAAACAGAUUUGGAUUUAGGGCUAAUUGAAAUGAAGUAUGCUACAAGACAAUUGGCGAACGAAGAUGGCGGUUACCGCCGGUGGCGAUGAUGCCGAUGAUUGUGUGUAUGGUCUCUGUGUGUGUGUGUGUGUUUUUUUUUUAAUUUUGGUUAUUGAAUUGGGUGUAAGAGGGAGGACAGAUGUCAAGGCGGUGGUGUGCGUCGCGGAAUCCGGAAAAAGGACAGACGAAGGCGGUGGAGGGGGAGGGGAAUAACGGAAAUGUAUGCCCCAGUGACCGUUCGCCAGCGUUCUUCUUAAGGAUUGGUGUUUGAGUUCGGUUUCCAACGGCAAAGGUGUUUUCCAGUGACUCCUGUUAUCCGGUCAUAUUUGGUAUUCAUUUUUGUAGUUAUCAAGCUUCAAAGUGGCUGCUUAUGUAACACGUCCAUUUUGGUCACAUAAGUAUAUAACUUCACUACUUGUAUAUUUGUAAACUUGAUAGCAUGAAUAUAUAUAUUUUAAAACAAUCAUAAAAACCUUACUGGACUUAUGUCUAGUUGAAAAUUCAUUCGCUGGAUAAAGUUGGUGGUUAAUAAUAGCAUUUUCUGAUUUAAAAAAUGUACUUAAAAAAGCAUAUUUAAUAUUAAUUCAUGGAAAUAUGAAAAAAAAAGAAAAAAAAUUGUUCAAAGUGACAUGAGUGGGAUGGUUCUAACAAAAGUAUAGGGAUUUAAUUUCUGAAGAGUUUUAAUUUGUAAUAGGUAGAAAAGGGAUGUUUAGUGAAGAUUCCAUUAAUUCUAAGUUUUGGUAAUGGUAAUUUUUCAUUUGAAGUUAUCGGAAACUCUCGACUCGAAUCUGAGUCUGUUUCGGGUCUUAGUCAAGCUCGGUCAAAUUUGGUCAAACGGCUCAACACCAAUUAGCAGCAGUCAGUAGGAGCAUACGAGUUGGUUAUGAGUGGGAAGGGGCUGAUGUAAAUUUGAAAAAUGAUGGUGGCAGAACUGCUCUUCACUGUGCUACUAGCAAAGGUUGGGUGAAAGCUAAAAUUUUGCUUUCUAUUGGAGCAAAGAUCGAUGCAAAGGACAAGGUUGUAACUCCCAUCUUUAGAUUGUUCCGCUUUGGACUUUAAAAAAUAAUCUUAUAUUUAAUCUUCGGUUGCUUAUUUAUUGAUGCUUACCCUAUAUAGAUUGGUAGCAAACGCAGUCGCUGGAUAUUUGUUUCUAUAAAAAUUGCAAUGUUGUACA